Cygnus atratus (black swan) is the source of this 5293-nucleotide long non-coding RNA. RefSeq lists it as uncharacterized. The record is from RefSeq and is a predicted model, not a curated record. NCBI's taxonomy places the organism in Eukaryota, Metazoa, Chordata, Aves, Anseriformes, Anatidae. The transcript has 14 exons.
AUUGCAGAUGUCUCACAUUCUGAACUGGCCAGCAGUAACGUAAAAGCUUUUCAUGGGAAUUGAAUAAUGGCUCAACUUGAUCAGCCUGUGAACAAGCCUUUCAUAAGUCUCUUCAUGUGGAUCAUAGAUGUAAUAGCAUAUAAUAAAACCUAACUGUGAUCUCAGACCAUCUUUCUGAUCCUGCUGGAAGUAGAAGGCAACAAGUCCACCCUGGCUCAUCAAGUCACCUUAUGCUCUAUGAAGAUUCCUCUAAAGCCUGGAGUCACCUUCAUUAGGAACUCAAAUAGUCAGCUCUAAAGAUGUCAUUACAUCACAUUUCCCCACACCCAUCAUCUUCACCUUUCAUGGUGUCUACAUCUGGGUCCAGCUCCUUUCUGUUUUUCUGCCUUUGCCAUACUUCAUUUUUCCAAGUCAACACUCUACACUGGAAAGAACUGUGAGGCUCUAAUGACUGAAAUAUGGAGAAAAUCUGGGCUAGGGAGAAAAAAAGUUAGCUGUGAUAUUUUUUUCUCUUGGUGCCCUUGUUUUCUCUGCAAGUGUCUCAUUCUCAGAAUGACAGUGGGUUCAUGCCAGAGAUCCAAAAGUUAGCAGUGCCAUUUUUUGCUCUGUUUAGAGUUUUCAUGAUUUAGGCAGUGCUAUGUGAUAUCAUGUGGAGCUUACCAGAACUCCAGUGAAUGCAGAGGAUUAACUCCAGGGACACGUAGUGAGGAAUUUCAUUGCAACUCCUGUGACUGCCUUGCAUAAUGCUGGGUGAAACCUUGUUCCUGUGAAUGGUCCUUCAUCACACAAGAGCUUUGUCUAGCGAGUGAGCAGGCUUGGGAAUCUCUUCUAAUUUGUCUGUACUAUCUGUUGUUGGGAGGCUUAAGUGUACUACAACAGUAAACUUUUUGCCUUUGCUGAAAAGACUUUAAACAUACAGAAACCGGAAAAGAUUGGGAGCAAAAGAGAUUAGAAGAGCUUUAACAGAGGAGGCUGGAAGAGGCUUGGCCUGGGUGACUACUGAAAGGAUACCUGAAAGGUCCUCACCAACGUAAACUGUUAGAAGUGUCUUCCAAAGAGUAGAAAAACAGAUGAAGUAAUAGGUCUGUUGCUCUGGUGCAGCAGCUUGGAAGACAAUUUAUGAGACAGCAGAAACCAUGCAGAUUGAAUGUAAGCCUCCAAUCAUGACAAGAAGUGAUAUGCAAGACGUACAUGCCACAUAAUGAGAUGAGGAAGAGCGACCCAAGUUUCUUAAUUGAAGAAACACAUCCAAUUGCUGCUGUGUGCCUUUAACCAAUAGCUUCCUGCUGAAUAAACGCUGAGGGCAUUCCUGACAUUCCCGGAGGAAGGCUGCUGGCGGAGCAAGCUGUCGUGGCUCUGUCCCAUCCCAGUUAUGUGCUGACGGCUGAGCUACACCCGUGCAGACGCCGUCUGGGCUUUCCAGCCAUAUACGGACAACGCCCGAAUAUGAACCCAGUGCUCUUCUGCCCCUGGAACGCACUGAGGUCUCACGGGCAGCAGUCAUUCUGGCUACAUUAAAUUACUCAUAAGUGAAGGCCCAGAUGUGUGUUUAUCAUCUUUAUAUAAAACCAGACUUCCUUGAAAAUAAAAAGCUACCAUUUUAUAAAAGCCAUGUAAAACAUCACUGAAAUUUUCAUUAUGGAAGAGGAUUAGAUGGGAAAACAACAAAUUAGAUGUCCACAAAAUGCAAAUACAGAACACAGCCCAACAGAUGACUGCUGUGCUCCAACACAAUUCUAGUGGUGACUCUUGGGAGAGCAGACAUCUGAAGUGUCUAGCCAAAAGGGAAGCAUAAUAUUCAGCUUUAGAGUGACUGCAGUGGAACCUUAGAAUUGUUUGUUUCUGUUUACAGCAAGACGCACACAGAAGCUCCUGGCAAACAUGUGAGGUUUUGUUCAUUGCAUGGAUCUCCAAUGGGCUGCUUGGAGAUAGAAUAUCAUCCUAUUGCAGACAGUCCUUACUAAGGGCCAGAAGUACUUUGAGUUCUGCAGCCUACUUUGCUGGGCUAAGUACCAAGGUUCAACUCAGAGCAAAAUGGCAAAUGAAAAUAAUUUCUUGUACCUGCAAUCAGCAUGACUGGCACAGACAAUUUACCACAGCACAUCUCUUAACUUUCUGCUGAUAGGAGACAAGAAGAAAGACUGACAAACUGUUGAAUUGGAUCUCAGCUCUCCUGCUACAGAAGUCAAACACUACCAGUGGACUGUGCCAGAGAUUAGCACAGUUUUCAGAUGUGGCCUGUCUUUGACCAGUAGUCUUUGACCUCUCAUGAGACAAGAGACAAGGGUGACAGCUAGUUCCAGUAGUGACUAUCCUUUCUGCAACAUGAUCAUCUGAAAUGACAUAGAAACUUGACUGGGAAUAAAGACAGAAAACUUGGCUAAUAGCAACUAGACAUAAUCAUCUUGCUUUUUAAAAGGAAGAAAUAUAUGAAGAAAAGAAAGGAAGGAGAGAAUUUAAAGUACAUGAUCUCCCUCUAUCUUCCAUUUGCUGUGCUGUGAGUUCUGGGCCAGUAUCUUGCCUUAGCAGAUGAGCACAAGAAAAUCAGUCUUCUCAGCCUCUGCCAUAAGAGAUCCGCAAACAGGGACUCUCUGGCGCUUAUCUUGUUUGGAGGAGAUGGAGUAUUUCUUCAAGAGGAAGUACAAGAUGUUUCUCUGAUAUCUUUCAAUCCGGGGCAUAGAAGAACUUAAGAAUGUGGGGGAAAACUGUGAUUACAGAGUUUGUCAGAAAGCUACCUUUUUGCUACAAAGUCCUGCUCCAAAAAAGUAGUGCUUACACUAAGCAAAGGACUUUUCAGCUUCUUGCUCUGUUCUGCCAGCGGGCAGGCUAGAGGUGCAGCAAGAACUGGGAGGGGACAGACCCAGGACAGCUGACCCAAACUGGCCAAAGAGGUUUCAAAAUCAGCUAAAAAGUAGUGUCAAGAGGUUAACCAUUUAGGUUGGAAAAGACCCUUAAGAUUAUGAAGUCAUAAAGCUGAAGAUGAGAACAAAUGGCAUAGCUGUGGUGGAACAAAGGGUCCUUCUGCACUUUUCGGUGUAGAGAGACCUGAUUUUGUUUGGCCUGUGCUGACCCCAGAACUGGAAGUCAGAAGACCAGAGUGACAAGACACCUGUUCCUACAGGACAAGAGCCUCCACAAACCAGGCCUUUGAGCCAUGUUGGCCCUGAACUGCAUCUAUUUUAAUAACUCUACCUGACAGCAAAUCUGUGGCAGAGCUAGGAUUAGAAUGUAAUCAUCCUGGCUCAGUCAUGUGCAUAGAUUAUUUCUAAAACUUCCCUCAACAUCCAGGUUCCCAUAGCCGAUAAAAUAUAUAAACUAUGCUCUCUUAUCUUCUUAAUUCUCAGCAGAAUUCUCACUGUAACCUGAAAGACAUUCUUAAGCAAACAAAACAAGUUGACCUCUAAACUGUGCUUUCCAGCAGUAGGAGUUGUCGUUCUAACCCAGGGGCUGGGCAUUCAGUUUUCACAGCUUGCAGCAGACUCUCAAAUGAAAGUAUAAUUUCUUAAUUGCAUUCUGUAACAGCAGGUCCAGAGUAAAUAUAAGGUUACAUUUCAAUGAUCAGAAUUUCAGGAAUAAAAACAAAAUUUGCAUGCAUAGGAAAAGACAAUGUUGUAUUAUAUUUCCCAGUAUCUCAUUUCUGUUCUGGAGAUCCCCUCUGAACUAAUGGCAGAUGUUAUAUACAUGGUCCACUACAAGCCAGCCCUCCACAGCUUUCCAUCACCAUUUUGCUACACUGGUAAAACAGUAUAAAGCAAACAAACAAACAGCUUUCUUCCAGAUCUGCUGCUGCUAUUUUUCUGUCAUUUUCUCAAAAUACCUGAUUUGUCAUUGUCAUCUGCCCUCACCCAUCAGUUCUUUCCACGCUGAAUAAGCAGAGCUGUAAUUUUUAGCAUUAAAAGUACUAGCUAUUUUGGUUAAGAAAAUAUUGCUCUAAUAUGUGCAGCAAACGGAAUAAAAAAUGCAUUAACUGAGCUGCAAUUGUAUUUUGCUUCCUCCAUCUGCUACCAUCCAGUCACACUUCCACUCCAAUCAUUUGUAGCAGACUUUCAGAAAAAUCUCCCAGGGACUGUCAGACACAGAGGAAUUUUUUUGAUAAAGCAACUACAGGCUCAUCUGCCUGAGCACGGAGGAGCAGAGAGGCACAAGGGCAGGUGGGGGAGCCCCAAUAACCUGCCAGGAGAAAGAAGCCCCUGCCCAACCCCUUCCUGUGCUGCCACAGGGGAGUCUCAGCCCCAUGGGCCAGGGGUGACCUCCAUCGCUUGGCUCUGAGAGAGAGGCCCUCCAGGUCUCCUCUCAGACUGAGGGCAUUACCCUUUGGGUGUGGGGUCACUCUGUGAUGCGGGGGUAAGCACUAGGGGAUUGUACAAAAGCAUGGGUCAUCAGGGCCCACCUAUCAGGGGUAGCAGCAAGAGGAUACUGGAGAGUGUUUAUUUGUAUAGCUGUGUAUGUCAGCAUGUAACCACAAGUGAACAUCAAGCCAGAUGAGUCAGCGAGCAGGCUGGGUGCUGAGGAUGCAAGUGCUGGUGUGGCCAUUAGUCUGGGUCAGACACUGGUGAGAUUAAUGGCUGCUAAUGGAGAGAUUAAUGGAUGCUAAUGAACUUUCAUCCUGAGCAGCCAGAGAAUGAGGAGGAGGCCAUCAGUACUCUGUGUUUGUGUGAGUGCUGUGUUUUCUGUUGCUGUUGUGAUUAGACAUAUAUAUAUAUAUAUCUAUAUAUUGUAUGUGUUUGUGUGUCAGUUGUGAAUAUGUGUUUAGCCUCACCACCAGGCGGACCUUGGAACACAGAUCUGUGGCAGCCUGACUUCUGCUGGAAUACCAGAUCUGGGUGCCCCUAAAAAAAAUUUUAAAAAAUAGUAUGGUACCUCUAAGAAGCCUCAGAAGCUGCAGAAUUAUCAGACAAUAAUUCACAUUAUUGUCAGCAUUUUCCAAAAUGAUUAGAGGGCUGUGGACAUGAAGGUGAGGCUACAAAAUGGUGCUUUUUUAUUGCCUUCAAUUGGCAGCUAGAGCCCUUCCUGGCAGGUAAAACAAAAAUCAUCUGGUUAUAGCAACAUACAUAAUAGCAACUACUGAACUACUAGUCUGUCUAUAUGUUCAUGAUAGAUUUUGAAAUGCUAGACAAACCAAAAUUGAAAUGCUUCUGUGCACACCCAGAAGCAAAAAUGUAGUUACGUGGGGAUUUAGGAAAUUACAUUAAUAACUAAAGAAUUACAUAAGCAGUGACUAAGGUUUGAAAAAAACUGUCUUGAAUUUGAAUCUUGAAUUAUUCUUAUAUUCCAAUUCCAGUGCCUAAGCUUU